This 625-nucleotide ribosomal RNA is filed under the name Triticum aestivum (bread wheat). RNAcentral describes it as "partial small subunit ribosomal RNA". Lineage: Eukaryota; Viridiplantae; Streptophyta; Magnoliopsida; Poales; Poaceae. The record is from RNAcentral.
AUGUCGGACGUUUACAAGAAAGCCAAGCCCGGCCGCCUCGUCUUCAAGGGCGGCGAGGCCGCCACCCUCCGCAAGCCCAAGAAGCAAAAGAAGAACAAGAAGCCCGCCGACGAUGUCCCCGCCGACGCCGACGCUGAAGCCUCCGCCGCUGCUGCUGCCGCUGCGGCCACGGAGGGCGCCGAAGCCGGCGGCGACUACACCAUCGACGCGGCGAAGCGGAUGAAGUACGAGGAGCUGUUCCCCGUGGAGACGAGGAAGUUCGGGUACGACCCGUCCAACGCCGCCCGCACCUCCCGCGACCGCACCGUCGAGCAGGCCCUCGACGACCGCGUGAGGAAGAAGGCCGACCGCUACUGCAAGUGAGGUGAUUAACUCAUCUUAGUUGUUUGCUGCUGUGAUGGACAGAAGGCUCACUUCAGUUGUUCUCAAUGUAUCAGAAGGUGCACCUUUGGACAACUGUUAGUCCAAUGGUGGCAUAUGUAAUAGAGCUAGUCUCUGCAGCGAUCAAGCAAUUCCUUUAUCUUGCAUGUUUUGUACUAGUAAACACAUGUGGUAUAAAUCUCAUGUUCACUCUCGGUUGUCCGUUUUGGUCAAUUGGAUAAAUGGUGUAUGCUUGGUACAUGCC